GCGUCAGUAGUGUAACGAAUAGAGCACGCAUUCCUCGAAAGAUUGAGGUUCGGGUUCUAGUCCCGCCUGAGGCG
Molecule: non-coding RNA, 74 nt
Organism: Parelaphostrongylus tenuis
Lineage: Eukaryota; Metazoa; Nematoda; Chromadorea; Rhabditida; Metastrongylidae
Source: the annotation of a GenBank genome assembly